Molecule: ribosomal RNA, 253 nt
Filed under: uncultured bacterium
Lineage: Bacteria
Description: partial 16S ribosomal RNA
Rfam family: Bacterial small subunit ribosomal RNA
Source: RNAcentral
UACGAAGGGGGCUAGCGUUGUUCGGAAUCACUGGGCGUAAAGGGCGCGUAGGCGGCUUGAUAAGUCGGGGGUGAAAGCCUGUGGCUCAACCACAGAAUUGCCUUCGAUACUGUCGAGCUUGAGACCGGAAGAGGUAAGUGGAACUGCGAGUGUAGAGGUGAAAUUCGUAGAUAUUCGCAAGAACACCAGUGGCGAAGGCGGCUUACUGGUCCGGUUCUGACGCUGAGGCGCGAAAGCGUGGGGAACAAACAGG